Molecule: ribosomal RNA, 403 nt
Filed under: uncultured bacterium
Lineage: Bacteria
Description: bacterial SSU rRNA
Rfam family: Bacterial small subunit ribosomal RNA
Source: RNAcentral
UAUUGCACAAUGGGCGCAAGCCUGAUGCAGCCAUGCCGCGUGUGUGAAGAAGGCCUUCGGGUUGUAAAGCACUUUCAGCGAGGAGGAAGGCGUUGUAGUUAAUAGCUGCAACGAUUGACGUUACUCGCAGAAGAAGCACCGGCUAACUCCGUGCCAGCAGCCGCGGUAAUACGGAGGGUGCAAGCGUUAAUCGGAAUUACUGGGCGUAAAGCGCACGCAGGCGGUUUGUUAAGUCAGAUGUGAAAUCCCCGAGCUUAACUUGGGAACUGCAUCUGAAACUGGCAAGCUAGAGUCUUGUAGAGGGGGGUAGAAUUCCAGGUGUAGCGGUGAAAUGCGUAGAGAUCUGGAGGAAUACCGGUGGCGAAGGCGGCCCCCUGGACAAAGACUGACGCUCAGUGCGAAA